RNAcentral lists this long non-coding RNA (2149 nucleotides) under Nicotiana benthamiana. RNAcentral's name for it is "long non-coding RNA (NBEN_LNC024890)". The record is from RNAcentral. Lineage: Eukaryota; Viridiplantae; Streptophyta; Magnoliopsida; Solanales; Solanaceae.
AUAUAAUUAUCCAUAUAUUGUUCAUAUGUGUAGAUAUAAGUCCAUAUAUCUAGAUAUAAAUCCAUAUAUCUUGCACAAACAACCUCGUUCAAACAUUUCACUUCAUUUUCCUCAUUUCUAUGAACCCUAACAUCCGUCACCUCAAAUCCUCAACCCUCUCUGAUGGCGGUGCCGCUUCAAAUCGGUUCCAAAUUAACACAACACACUCCCUAUAAUCCCUCAAACACUAAAUCACCAUUAAUUUUUCUGAAAUCCUCUCUGUUUUUCCAUAAUAUCAGAUUUUAAGAUGGAAUCCUAAUUCCUUCCUCGCCUCUGAUUCAUCAUGCAAGAGUCUUGUUUGAUUUUCUCCAAGCUUUGAAGAGAUUUAGACUUGAAAAAAAGUGUUAGACGGGUUGUUCUCACAAGAACAACCGGAAUAACACUCAUUUUGGGCUCGAAUAAAAAACUGUCGAUUAAUCCAUUCAAAUCCAUCGUCCAUUUGUCCCUUUCAGGUAUUUUAGGUCCUUUGGUUUUCGUUGUAAUUUCAUUCCCAGCUUCGUCUUGAUUCUUUUCUUUUUCUGAUUUUUCUGUUUUUCACACCAUGCCUGUUAAAUUUAGUUUAUUUUUCUUUCAGUUAGCAUUUAUCUUAGUUUGUGUGAGAUUUUGUUUAAAUUCCCUUCCUAUUUUUGUUUUGAUUGAAAUCCUUGGGUCCAAGAGUUCGUGUAACUCUGGUUGCCCAUUUGUUGAAUUUCUCUUUUGGGUUCUUAAUCGAUUAAUUGGGCUUUGUUAGAUAGAGGUCCAAAGAGAGAGGAAUUAAGCCGGGCUGCAAACCUAAAUUGAGUUUUGAUUAUUGGGUCAAUUUGACCCACGUCAAGUUCUCAGGGUAAAUAACAUAGGUUUAAAGGUUAAUUUAGGAAUUUUAGGUAAAAGAAUCUUCAAUAACUAAUUUAGGAAGCUGCUAGAAAGGUGGGUUGGGGACUUAUUUUCAAAACAGAUUUUUGAAUUAAGGACCACGUAGCAAAAACAAAAAUUCAAAAAGGAUUAAUAGACAAAGUCUAAAUCAUUUUAUGCUGCCCUAGAGCUUCUCUAUAAAAGGCCCUUACUUCUUAAUCAAGUUAGAUUUUUUGGGUGAAUUUUAGAGACUGAAAAAUGGCUAAGUAUGAAAACUCUUAAAGAACACUGAAAUUCCUGCAUUUCUUUGGUCAACAAUUGGCUUAGUUCUGCCUGAAAGCUUCCUAGUUAAUCCGAGUAUUGAGACUCCAUAUUGGUUUUCAUCUGGGUUCCUAUUUAGUUUGAAGAAGCUGGAUUUUGUUUGAUAUUGAUGGUUUUAAGUUGUAUCUGUUGUUGUUGUUAACUCCUUGUUUUUUCUAUUUCUAACCGGGUAAUUUACAAAUUAUUCACAACAAGUGAAUGUGAACAUGUAUUUCGAGUUGAAACCAGAUUGAAUACAAGCUGUGUUUGAGUUCUGUUGUCUUUGGUUCUUCCAUUUUUAGUGUUUUUUAAUAACUUAAUUUUAAGCAUGUUAUGCUAGUUUUUCUCAUGUUGUGAAUAUAGUUAAUUGAAUUAUUGUUGUUCCUUUGUUUAUGAUGUUGCUUGAAGAUCUGAUGUAAUGUCUUAUAUUCAAGUUAGUUUUAUGUUAAUCCUAUGAGAUUUUGCUACUGUUUUGCAUUAGAAGAGGGUUCAACUGAGAUUCAAGCUCCAUAGUUCUAAGUCGAAUGAAGAAAUCUUCUUGCUAGUUUCUGCUCAUAUGCAUUCACGUUGGUAUCGAAUGUAUGGCUAUAAUUUAUUUUUAGCUGGUCUUUAUUGUUGCUUUAUUUAGAUUUUGGUUUGGGUAUUCGAACAAGUUCAGUAGCGUGUUGAUGUAUUUUGACUUCCAGUUUGAUGAUUUAGAGUAUCUGUAGUAAGAAUCAUUGUGUAUGAAUGCAUGACAUUAAUUCCUGUAUAUUUCUACUUUAUGCACAAUUGCAACAUAAUUAGCUAAUGUGUUUCUUGUUUAUUUUGCCAAAACCUGUGUAAGGUGAAUAAAGCUUGAGCCAUCGAAGAGGCAGCUUAGAGCCAAAGGCUCUUGUGGAUCGAAUGUCCCUUUACUCUGAAGGGGACUCGACCUUGGGUCUUGUCCCUGUUCCCGCUCCUCUCUUCACCAACUUUGGGCUGAUUUUUGGCCUGUGCU